AUUGAACGCUGGCGGCAGGCCUAACACAUGCAAGUCGAACGGCAGCACAGAAGAGCUUGCUCUUUGGGUGGCGAGUGGCGGACGGGUGAGUAAUGUCUGGGAAACUGCCCGAUGGAGGGGGAUAACUACUGGAAACGGUAGCUAAUACCGCAUAACGUCGCGAGACCAAAGUGGGGGACCUUCGGGCCUCACACCAUCGGAUGUGCCCAGAUGGGAUUAGCUAGUAGGUGGGGUAAUGGCUCACCUAGGCGACGAUCCCUAGCUGGUCUGAGAGGAUGACCAGCCACACUGGAACUGAGACACGGUCCAGACUCCUACGGGAGGCAGCAGUGGGGAAUAUUGCACAAUGGGCGCAAGCCUGAUGCAGCCAUGCCGCGUGUAUGAAGAAGGCCUUCGGGUUGUAAAGUACUUUCAGCGGGGAGGAAGGCGGUGAGGUUAAUAACCUUGCCGAUUGACGUUACCCGCAGAAGAAGGACCGGCCAACUACGUGCCAGCAGCCGCCGUAA
RNAcentral lists this ribosomal RNA (506 nucleotides) under uncultured bacterium. RNAcentral describes it as "partial 16S ribosomal RNA". It matches the Rfam family "Bacterial small subunit ribosomal RNA", at positions 29 to 523 of the family's 1533-position model. The record is from RNAcentral.